This 3978-nucleotide unclassified non-coding RNA is filed under the name Leishmania donovani. RNAcentral's name for it is "gene:LdHU3.14.0480(CDS-product:Plasma-membrane_ch oline_transporter_putative)". Lineage: Eukaryota; Euglenozoa; Kinetoplastea; Trypanosomatida; Trypanosomatidae. The record is from RNAcentral.
CGCUUUACACCUUCGCGGGUGCCUCUUUUCCGGUUCCUCUGUUCUCUCUUCACGGUCUCUCUGCGCACCUGGACAGCUGCGUACACGUACAGGAAGACUCCAUUUUCAGCUCCUCUAUAUAUAUACCUACGCAUCUAUAUAUAUAUAUACCUACGCAUCUAUAUAUAUAUAUAUACCUACGCAUCUAUCUUUACCCACAAAUCAAAGAGCGCCUGCACGCUCUCCUCCUCCUCCUCCUCCUCCUCCCCCCCCACACACCUCUUCCUCCGGCGCAACGACUCCUGCUGCUGCUGUUUCAGUUGUCCCUCCCCCUCCCUCGCAUCGUCGCACACGCACGCUUUCGUGUUCCGCCACCUUUUGGGUGAGCGCACGUCUACCGCGGACGGAAGUCUCCAUCUCUUUUCAGUUAUCUUGUGGGUUGUCCCUGAGGUCCUUGGUUGUCGACGCUGUGCAUCCGACUCCCCUACUCUUGCGCCCACUCUGCGCUCAGCGUGCGACCGCAACACCUGCAGCCACACACACACACACACACACACACUUCCAAGAAGAGAAACUUCAAGAGGAAGAAGAGCGAGCUGCGCUUGUCCUAUUUGCCUGGUCGGCUUGCUUCUCCUCUUUUCAUUUUCACGUGCGCACGAGCAAGGGCACGCGUGCUGUGCGCCAUCAUGUCCCACCCAACUGCACGUGGGGCAGGCGAGAAGGCGCCGCUGGUGCGUGGUAACUUCUCUGAGACUCACGGGGACCCCUACGUAGAGGAGCUGGGACCUGGCGCCCCCGUGUAUACUGCCUCGCUUAUCAGAGACGAUCGCACGAGUCGAACGUCUGGCACCAUCUCUACUGUCGACUGUGAUCCCACCGAUGACGACGCCGACUGGAACGUGGAGAAGGCCAAGCUGAGAAAUUGCCGUAACGCGAAGCAGCAGCAGACGCACCACACCUUCCUCACGUCCAGUGGGCAGCCCUCCAACAAUGAGCUAUGGCGCUUCCGCGCGCGCGGCUGCCAGGACUGUUGGGCAGCGCUGUUCUUCAUGGCACUCAUCAUGGUCGUAUUGCUCUGGGGUAUGGAACAGGUGUGGCAGCUGCAGCUGACGGAGCGCGACCUCGCCGUGAUCGCUGGUGUCGCCGAGGGGAAGGGCUACGCAGACUCACACGCCGGCGCCGCUGUGGCGGGCGGCUCUGUCCACGGUAAAGUGCUGCAUGGCGUGGCUGCGCUGCGUGCUGGUGUGGCGGCUCUGUGGGCCGGGAUGGAGGGUUUGGCGCCUCCAGCGGAAGCGCACAACAGCGACGCCUCCUCGCCCUCCUCCUACGCUGGGAUGAUCGGGGCUGUCGUGCGAGCACUGAUAUGGUGUGCAACGGCGGCAACCACCACCAUCCUGGUGGCGUACGGCGGUCUUCUUCUCAUCGCCGUCUACCCCCGCCAGCUUAUAUUCAUCCAGUCCGCCGUCGCAUCGAUGUUGUCUGCUGCUUUCGCCGGCGUGGCCCUUGCCCAAGGCGCGGGCCUGAUGGCAAUGCUCUUCGCCUUGUUGGCGUUCACGCCGCUUCUAUGGAUCUACCUCAUUCAGGACCGGAUUCCCUUCACCACCACGAUGCUGUGCGCCACCGUGUCGGUCCUGCGACGUCAUCGCAGCCUCUUCGCUAUCUCCCUCGGCUCCGCUAUCGCAAGCUGGUGCUUCGUCAUGGCGGCGGUGGUGUGCGUGCUGCCGAGCGUGCUGCGCCUUCUCGCCGGCACGGCGUCUAGCGCGAAUAUAGCCUAUCCCAUCAUCCUCGUCGUCUGUGUUUUCUGGGUCCAGGAGGCGCUAAGCGCACUCGUGCAUGUGACCGUGUGCGGCGUGGUAGCCACGUGGUACUUCGCCGGUGAGGGGAACAUGCCAUCCUUCCCCGUGCAGACCUCGUUUCAGCGCGCCACCACGACGAGUUUUGGCUCGGUCUGCCUGGGCUCCCUCAUCAACGCCAUCGCGUCCUUUGUUCGCUUCCUUAUUGAUACGGUGCGCACCAGCAGCGACGGCGACAACUUCUGGAUGUGCAUCAUGAGCUGCCUGGUGGGCUGCAUCGAGGACUUGGUGCGGUACUUCAACCAGUAUGCCUUCGUUCACGUGGCAGUGUACGGGUGCGGCUACGUCGACGCCGCCAAGGAGACCUGGGUGCUUGUGAAGCAGUGUGCCUUCUCCGCGAUAUUCAACGAUCUGUUGACGGGGCAGGUUAUUGGCAUUCUCGCCUUCAUGAGCGCAGUGCUGGUGGCCCUCUUGACGGCGCUCGUGACGUGGAAUGCAGCGGCGGUGGCGCUGAUGUUUUUCAUGUCACUGAUCGUGAGCAGCAUCUUCUACAGUCCGGUAAGCUCGUGCGUGGCAACGAUCUAUGUGUGCUUUGCGGAGGUUCCGGUGGGGCUGCAGCUCUCGUUUCCGGAGCUGUACGCCGCCCUUGUGGACGCCGAUGCCGGCUAUACGCAGCGCCGUGAGGAGGCCAGCGUGUACGGCACCGCUCUUGUCUAAGUCUCCGUGCACCCACGUACACGUGGCCUUGAAGAGGCGAGGAGCGACAUGGGGUUCGGAAGGGAAAGAGAGAAAGCGGGGGUGGUCGUGCCGCGGUCAGAAUGCAAGGCGGAAUACAUAUACAUGCACAUGCAUAUCUGUAUAUAUGUUCAUAGCACAAAAAGGAAAUAUAAAAGAGGCCCCUGCACACCAGAAGUAGGCGGGCUGAAACAUGACGAGCAAGAAAGGCUUGGUGGUGAGUUUGUUCGGAUUUGUGGCGCGUCUGGUGCGCCCCACCCCUCUCCUCCUCCCCCUCCCCCUCCCCCGUCGUCGUCUUCUUGGCUCGCUUGUUCUUUCCCUUUGCAGCGUAACCCUCUUUUCCUUUAUCUCUGAGUAGUAUUCCGCACACCACACACCUCUCUGUCUCUCUCUCUCGCGCGCGCGCACUGCCUUGGUUUUUUUUUGGUGGUUUGUCUGUCCCUGGCUUUCUCUGUGGGGUGCUUAGUGCUGUGUGGCGUGUGGGCCUUUCUGUUUCAGCGCAUGUUGUUUCUCCCGCCCCCAUCACUCUCCUCCUCCCUUUGUGUUCCACUUGUGUGGAUACAGAUGAGCUUGUAUGAGCGUUGUUAUCGUCGUGGUCAGUGUCGCCUACGCACCUUUCCUCAGCAUGCGCCCGCCGCAGCACGACCAUGAGCACCUAAAGGCAGAGAGUACGUGGAAAGAUGCCUAUGGUGCUCUCUAUCACCGCUCGCUCUUCCCCCUUCACAUCUCUUACGUUUGUAGGCGUAUGUGGGGGAGGGGGGCGGGGGUCUCUAUCCUUUGGCUGAUCUGCGCUAAGCGAUCGCUUUCCUAUGUUGUCCUGCUCUGGGGGUGUCGCUGCAUCUCUGAGCACGUAUGCUGUUGGGUGCCUUUUUCUGUGGCUUCUCCGUCACCGGAUGACACAAAGGCAAGCCAUGAACCCCCCCACCCUUGAAAGGAAAAGCCACGCCACGUCCUUUGCUGAUGCAGCUCUUCGUUUCUCCCCUCCUUGCCUUGCUUGCUGGCGCAGCACGCACUCUCUCCCCUCCCCCACGCCACCCCGCCCUGUCUCCAUCCUUGCCAGUGCUCCUGUUCAUUGCUUGCUGCUCAGCAGGUCGCACAUACCAUGGCAGCAGCAGCAGCAGGACAUUGCUGCACGCGCAGUGCCCCCCCCUUCUUUUGGGUGGUGAGGCUCUCUCUCUCGGUGUGUCUGCGGGGAGUUGCGUGUCUGCUCGUCACUGUGUUCGUCCUUUCCUCUGUUGUUGCUGUUUGACUUCUUUAUCGCUUCCCUUGCUUUCCUAUUCAUGCCGCCUCACUAGCAGGCCCAUGAACCACUUCAGUGCACGUGUGCGUACGCGCCUACACGCAUGCGCAUGCAGGCAGGCACACGUAUUCGUUCUGCACAGCGGUGUCUCCGCAAUGCGUGCGUGUGUGUGUGUACGAGAAAGAGGGGUUCGUUUUCGUGACUGUGCACUCGUGCUGUGUGUUGGGCCGG